GUGGGGUGGCGCGCGGUGCAUGUCGGUCCCGAGGCGGACUGUCCCCUCGCUGUGAGGUGCUCGGAGUCUCGCCUGACGCCAUGUUCCUUUGGGCCGCUGCCGCCCGGGGCCUCUAGCUGCCACCGCCCCCGCGUGACCCCGGAGCCUAUAGAGCCGCAGUCGCCGCCGGGAGCGGAGCCCGGCCGCGCCCCGCCAUGUCCGCCAAGGAGGGGAGCAAGGGGCCACCGCCGCCUCACGGCACCAGCGAGCGGGCCGUUAAGGGUGAGCCCCGCCAGCGACCGGCCCUCUGCGGGGUGAACGACUCGGCGGCGGCGGUGGGGCGGGGUGUCCCUUUUCCACCAACACAUCGCUUGUCAUCUGAAGAAGUGUUUGAUAUAGAUGGAAAACCUAGGGUUGACAUUUUGAAGAACCACUUAGUAAAAGAAGGUCGGGUAGAUGAAGAAAUUGCACUUAGAAUCAUCAAUGAGGGUGCUGCAAUUCUACGAAGAGAGAAAACUAUAAUAGAAGUUGAAGCUCCAAUUACAGUGUGUGGUGAUAUUCACGGCCAGUUCUUUGAUCUAAUGAAGCUGUUUGAAGUUGGAGGAUCACCUGCUAAUACAAGAUACCUCUUCCUUGGUGACUAUGUAGACAGAGGUUAUUUUAGUAUAGAGUGUGUGCUGUAUUUAUGGGUCUUGAAGAUUCUGUAUCCAAAUACAUUAUUUCUUUUGAGAGGCAACCAUGAAUGCAGACACCUCACAGAAUAUUUUACCUUUAAGCAAGAAUGUAAAAUAAAGUAUUCAGAAAGAGUCUAUGAUGCUUGUAUGGAAGCUUUUGAUUGCCUCCCUCUUGCUGCACUUUUAAACCAACAGUUUCUUUGUGUUCAUGGUGGACUUUCACCAGAAAUAAACACACUAGAUGACAUUAAGAGACUAGAUAGAUUCAAAGAGCCUCCUGCAUUUGGACCGAUGUGUGACUUAUUGUGGUCAGAUCCCUCAGAAGAUUUUGGAAAUGAAAAAUCACAGGAACACUUCAGUCAUAAUACAGUCAGGGGAUGCUCCUAUUUUUAUAGCUAUCCAGCAGUUUGUGAAUUUUUGCAAAAUAAUAAUUUGUUGUCGAUAAUUAGAGCUCAUGAAGCACAAGAUGCAGGCUAUAGAAUGUACAGAAAAAGCCAGACUACAGGGUUCCCAUCAUUAAUAACAAUUUUUUCGGCACCUAAUUACUUGGAUGUCUACAAUAAUAAAGCUGCUGUGUUAAAAUAUGAAAAUAAUGUGAUGAAUAUUCGACAGUUCAAUUGUUCUCCACAUCCUUAUUGGUUACCAAAUUUUAUGGAUGUCUUUACGUGGUCAUUGCCAUUUGUUGGAGAAAAAGUAACAGAAAUGUUGGUGAAUGUUCUGAGCAUUUGCUCUGAUGAUGAAUUAAUGACUGAGGGAGAAGAUCAAUUUGACGUAGGUACAGCUGCAGCACGAAAAGAAAUAAUCAGAAACAAAAUACGUGCAAUUGGCAAGAUGGCAAGAGUCUUCUCUGUUCUGAGGGAGGAGAGUGAAAGUGUGCUGACACUCAAGGGUUUGACUCCCACUGGAAUGUUACCUAGUGGAGUGUUGGCCGGAGGACGUCAGACGCUACAAAGUGAUGCAGUUUAAUUGGAAAUAGUGAUGAACAAUCUGAACACAGAAGACCAAGUGACAAACAAAGGCUGUUGAAAACCUGGAAAGGAUUCAGAAAAGAGCGACGAGAAUUAGAGGUCUGGAUAAUGUGCCUUACAAUAAAAGACAUAUGAAGCUCCAUCUAUUUAGCUUCUCAAAGAGAAAGUUAUGAGGUGACUCAAUCACCGUCUAUAAGUACCUAUAUGGGGAAAAGAUUCUGAUAGAAGAAGACUCUACUCUAGUAAAGGCAUAACAAGAACCAAUGACGGGAAACUGAAACUAGAUAAAUUAAAGAGAGACAAAAGUGCAAAUUUCUAAAUUAAGGUACUUAAUCACUGGAACAACUUACCAAGGGAUGUAGUGGCAUUCCAUAACUUGAAAUCUUUAAAUCUAUAUUGGAUGUCUUUCUAAUUAUGUUCUAGCUCUACCACAAGCUAUUGGCUUGAUGCAUGAAUUAAUGGAUGAAAUUCUGUAUCCAGUGUUACACACGUCAAACUAGAUGUCCAUAAGGGUUUCUUCUUCUGGCCUUAAAUCUAUGAACGUUUAUAAUCUUAUUGUUCAGAGCUUCAUUAAAUAUUAGCAUAGUGCAGAAUUUACAAUCAGAUUAUAAAUCUGGUCAUUAAAUUGCCAAUGCUUUGUUUUUCUGUUUUAAAUAUUACCAUAUAACCUAAGAGCCCAGUUGUCUGAAUAAUCUUAUGUAUGUAACCAUGUCCAACCAUGCUGCCCCAUUAUCCUCAUUCUCAUUUGUUGUGUCAUGUUUAUAAUCUAGUUUGUAAAUUCUUCGAGGCGGGUACUUUAUCUAACAAUCUGUUCUGCGAGACACCAUGCACACCUUUGGUCUUGGUACAAAUGCAUAAGAAGAACUAGAAAAGAGGUUUUUAAAAUUGCGUUAAAGCAUGGGUUUGAUUGUGGUCACUUGCUAAAGGCAAAAAGCCACUUCUGGUUUCAAGGUCAGGCAUCUCUCCGGGAUGGCAGAUAUGGCUUGCUCACUAAUCAAUGACAAAAAGUACCACUGCAAAAAGCCAGUUACUGUCAAAAUCUGGCUUGAAGAGUUCAUUUGGGUGCCUAUUUCAGACUUGUGCGCUAAAAGACAACAAGGUUUAAGAGAUGAAUACUACCCUUCAUGCUCAUCUUUUCAAGUUGCACCCAAAUUGCUGGGAUGAUAAAGAGACUGUGAAAUUUUAUCUGAAUUCCCAGACUAGAGCCCUGCAUGGGACUAUUAUUUUUAAUCCCACUCCCGUCCCAUCCCACAAUAUCCACUCACACCCACUCCCGCAUUGUUUCUUGCAUUUUUAUCCUGCUCCCACCCACAAAUCCUGCAAGAGAGACCAAUUCCCCCAUGCUACUAAAACAAACAUAUGGUCGGUUAAUAUACUAUCUAUCUAUAUAGAGAGAGUAUUUUUUUAUAUGGUUUAAGAAAGAUUUGUUUAACUCCUGUUAUAAUAGGCAUCAAAUCUCUUUCUACCCCUCACGUAAAUUUAAGUAUUAAAACCUUUAUUUUUUUAAAAAGAAAAGCUUGCUUUACAUUGCUGAAAUUCUAUUUAUGACAAACUACUGUUGUGCUUAUCAUACAGAACAUCAAAGCAAACUGCACCACAGUUUUACCUUAAAAGGUGUAGAUUUUUUUAAAUUACUAUAAAAAGUAAGUUAAAAUAAACACUGAAAUUUUUUUAAACUGCUUAAGUACCGUUUUUAGAACUUUGAAACAUACCAUUCCAAUUAUUUAUAUGUCAGGAUUAUUAUUGCUUUUUGAAAAAUACUUAAUGGAAAAACUGCUCACAGCACUUGGUUUUUGAUAGAAAUAAAUUUUAAGAAGAGGCUCAAACUAAGUGAUCGACAAUAAGGUCAACUUAAACAGCAGAUGUAGCUAAACUUGCAUUUUGUUUUCCCACAAAUUACCACAAUCGUUUUUUUUUG
This is a non-coding RNA of Caretta caretta (loggerhead turtle), 3539 nucleotides long. The record is from RefSeq and is a predicted model, not a curated record. Lineage: Eukaryota; Metazoa; Chordata; Testudines; Cheloniidae.